This 302-nucleotide long non-coding RNA is filed under the name Vigna radiata. RNAcentral describes it as "long non-coding RNA (VRAD_LNC004129)". The record is from RNAcentral. Lineage: Eukaryota; Viridiplantae; Streptophyta; Magnoliopsida; Fabales; Fabaceae.
GGGUGAAUAGUUUUUUUUAAAAAAAUUUACAAAUGGCGUCUGAUAGUUUUUCAAAUGAUUGAUAGACGAAAGAUAAGUUCAGAAGAUGGUGUUUAAAAAGGAGUUUCUAAGAAAAAGUUUGAAGAAGCAAAGCAAUAAAACACUGAUUUUAUAUUGGUUCACUCAACUGAGCUACAUUUAGUUUUCCCUUAAGAACUCUUAAGGGGUUCCACUAAUCUUUAAGAAUAUUACACGAGUUUUACCUCUCCAGGUUUAUAACGAGUAUUCUCAUCAUUCCUGUUUCACCUAGUCAGCACGAAUAG